This is a long non-coding RNA of Scylla paramamosain (green mud crab), 1192 nucleotides long. RefSeq lists it as uncharacterized. Lineage: Eukaryota; Metazoa; Arthropoda; Malacostraca; Decapoda; Portunidae. The record is from RefSeq and is a predicted model, not a curated record. The transcript has 5 exons.
UUAUUUUUCUUCUUCACGCAGAUAGUAAUUGACGAACACAACACACCACGUGGAGAGAAGCAAGGUGUGGAGUACCCAAGCCUCUCACAGUCCAUGCUAGUAGACUCACCCUGCAUGUGGAGAUCUCCCAAAAUGCACGGAGGUUAUUCCAGAGCUGCAGGACAGAGUACUUGAGGCCAUUGGUGAACAGAAAGCUGAGGUUGAACAAAGCCAAGAAUUGAUAGCUGCCCAAGGUGUAAGCAAGAUUCACAAUGAUGAGGUCAUUGUGACGUGUGCAAUGUGUCCACUGGUCUUGGCCUUCCUGACCAAGGCAGCCACACAAAGGAAAUUCCACGUUAUUGUUGCCGAACGUGCCCCUAAAUAUGAUGUAAGGGUCACCCAGUGGCAAAAGCUUUAUGUACUGCUGGAAUUGAGACAACAUUAAUUCAAGACUCUGCAGUGUUCCCCAUCAUGUCACGUGUCAACAAGGUCAUCAAAGGUCAUCGUUGGCACCGAGACGGUGGUGACCAACGGAGGCAUUGAGACCUUUGUUGGUGCAGCCUCUCUUGCCUCACCACCAAAGUUUUAUUCUGUUCCACUGUAUGUGUGCACUCCCACAUACAAAUUUAGCUUGAUGGGCUGUGAAGAAAUAAGCCACCAAACCACCACUUCUAUUAUCCCAGAGGGAACAAAGUUUUGGCCGUCUGUAAAUACUGCGCUGACUCAGCUAGAUUACGUUCCUCCAGAAAAUGUCACCAGUUUGAUAACUAACAAUCGAGGUACUGCACCAUCCUACGUGUACCGGCAGCUUAGCGAACUGUACCGUCCCACUUCUUGUGAUCUCUAAGGUAACAGCUUUAAUCCUUGCAAAUAAGGAAUAAGAGAAAAGAGACACACCUGCCAUUUGUACUGUUAUGCUGUAGUGUUCUGUCAUUUUUUUCCUCUUUUAUCCUAGAACCAUUUUUGGUCAUUCAUGUUUCUAAAAAUUAUUAUACAAAAAUGUUGAGCUUAAUAUGUUUGGUGUAGUUUUUUGUAACAUGUGUUAUUGUUAAUGUGUGUGGUUCCCCUCAGGAAGAAUGUUGCAGUAUUAGCAGUAAUGUUACAGCCAAUGGAAGUGUCUGUAUUGUGCUUUGGUGGGAGGUUAAUUUGAUGUAUUUUUAGAGUUGUGCAGGAUAUAGCAAGCCCUCAAAAUAAAGAAAAUAACUAUAGAAAA